Molecule: long non-coding RNA, 605 nt
Organism: Aedes aegypti (yellow fever mosquito)
Lineage: Eukaryota; Metazoa; Arthropoda; Insecta; Diptera; Culicidae
Exons: 2
Source: RefSeq, a predicted model, not a curated record
UUUCGACAGAUUUCGUAUAUGAAGAUGGUCAUCGGCUUGGUGGCAGCUGCAAAAACAGCCGAACUCGCCGCUGCUGGUUACUCUUGGCAAUGCAUGAACCAGCUGCAAGGAGAACCCAUUGUUCCGGAUCACCUAUACGUGGACAUCAAACCAAAAAGUCUGAUUCACCAGCAUCAAGCGUAGGCCAUCCUGAAUAACAGCCUGGAUCUAAGAAGCAAGCGCUGAAAGAAAGCCAUCUCUGUGAGGUUUAUUUAGCUACGUAAUUGCUGCAUUCAUGGACUUUAAUCAGACUAUGAAAUGUAAGUGACUGGAUCACCGAUGAUUAAUCGCACCACCUAAACGGAGCACGAGCUUCGAAAGCAUUGUUCAAGGCAAAAUUGUGCCACGAUUCUAUUUUUUUAUUUUAAAUAUCGAAUAUGGCAACCUUAAGCUUUAAUAAACAUUCAAAAUAUUUUGUCUUCAAUGAAAAUUAUUUCUUAAAUUGAAUAAGUCACAAUGAAACAAGAAAUAAGUGUAGUAUAAAUUCAAUUCCAACAGAAUUUUGUCUACACUUAUUUUCUUCUUUCAUUGUUUCGUAUUAAAUUUAUUGAUCAAUUAUUCUUUAA